GAUGAAGAACGUAGCUAAAUGCGAUAAGUAAUGUGAAUUGCAGAAUUCAGUGAAUCAUCGAAUCUUUGAACGCACAUUGCGCCCCUCGGUAUUCCGAGGGGCAUGCCUGUUCGAGCGUCAUUAUAACCCUUCAAGCUCAGCUUGGUGUUGGGGCCUGCUGUAACUGGUAGCCCUUAAAAUCAGUGGCAGUGCUAUUAGGCUCUAAGCGUAGUAAUUCUUCUCGCUAUAGUGUGUAGUGAGCGCUUGCCAGAACCCCAAACUUUUAUAUGAUUGACCUCGGAUCAGGUAGGGAUACCCGCUGAACUUAAGCAUAUCAAUAAGCGGAGGA
Molecule: unclassified non-coding RNA, 328 nt
Filed under: soil metagenome
Description: partial contains 5.8S ribosomal RNA, internal transcribed spacer 2, and large subunit ribosomal RNA
Rfam family: 5.8S ribosomal RNA (bases 1-120)
Source: RNAcentral